UACGUAGGGGGCAAGCGUUGUCCGGAAUCAUUGGGCGUAAAGAGCGUGUAGGCGGUCCGGUAAGUCGGUUGUGAAAGCCCAGGGCUCAACCCUGGGACGCCGACCGAUACUGUCGGACUAGAGUUCGGAAGAGGCGAGUGGAAUUCCCGGUGUAGCGGUGAAAUGCGCAGAUAUCGGGAGGAACACCUAUGGCGAAGGCAGCUCGCUGGGACGUUACUGACGCUGAGACGCGAAAGCGUGGGGAGCAAACAGG
Molecule: ribosomal RNA, 253 nt
Filed under: uncultured bacterium
Lineage: Bacteria
Description: partial 16S ribosomal RNA
Rfam family: Bacterial small subunit ribosomal RNA
Source: RNAcentral